UGCUGCUGGAGAGUGGUUGGUGAAGUACUUAAAUGCUUCAAUCUCUUUUUUAGGACUGAAAAUAGCUUUUUUCGGAUUUAAUCUUUGAGCUUGCAAAAACUUUAUGAUUUUUCAUUUGAAUAGAGCAUUUAUAGUUGCCAUUCACUCUUGAGAAUGUCUUAGAGUUGGUUUUAAGCCAUUGGAGUGCGUUUAAUGCUCAUUAAAUGCAUCAAAAAUAGAUUGAAAACUAGCCGUUACGCAUGCUCGC
RNAcentral lists this long non-coding RNA (247 nucleotides) under Elaeis guineensis (African oil palm). RNAcentral describes it as "long non-coding RNA (EGUI_LNC004256)". Lineage: Eukaryota; Viridiplantae; Streptophyta; Magnoliopsida; Arecales; Arecaceae. The record is from RNAcentral.